This 468-nucleotide ribosomal RNA is filed under the name uncultured bacterium. RNAcentral describes it as "partial 16S ribosomal RNA". It matches the Rfam family "Bacterial small subunit ribosomal RNA", at positions 28 to 507 of the family's 1533-position model. The record is from RNAcentral.
GACGAACGCUGGCGGCGUGCUUAACACAUGCAAGUCGAACGGAAAGGCCCUGCUUUUGUGGGGUGCUCGAGUGGCGAACGGGUGAGUAACACGUGAGUAACCUGCCCUUGACUUUGGGAUAACUUCAGGAAACUGGGGCUAAUACCGGAUAGGAGCUCCUGCUGCAUGGUGGGGGUUGGAAAGUUUCGGCGGUUGGGGAUGGACUCGCGGCUUAUCAGCUUGUUGGUGGGGUAGUGGCUUACCAAGGCUUUGACGGGUAGCCGGCCUGAGAGGGUGACCGGCCACAUUGGGACUGAGAUACGGCCCAGACUCCUCCGGGAGGCAGCAGUGGGGAAUAUUGCACAAUGGGCGGAAGCCUGAUGCAGCCACGCCGCGUGCGGGAUGACGGCCUUCGGGUUGUAAACCGCUUUCGCCUGUGACGAAGCGUGAGUGACGGUAAUGGGUAAAGAAGCACCGGCUAACUACGUG